This 74-nucleotide transfer RNA is filed under the name Corallococcus sp. H22C18031201. Its description in RNAcentral is "tRNA-Arg". It matches the Rfam family "tRNA". Rfam says of the family: Transfer RNA (tRNA) molecules are approximately 80 nucleotides in length. Their secondary structure includes four short double-helical elements and three loops (D, anti-codon, and T loops). Further hydrogen bonds mediate the characteristic L-shaped molecular structure. tRNAs have two regions of fundamental functional importance: the anti-codon, which is responsible for specific mRNA codon recognition, and the 3' end, to which the tRNAs corresponding amino acid is attached (by aminoacyl-tRNA synthetases). tRNAs cope with the degeneracy of the genetic code in two manners: having more than one tRNA (with a specific anti-codon) for a particular amino acid; and 'wobble' base-pairing, i.e. permitting non-standard base-pairing at the 3rd anti-codon position. RNAcentral also lists the same sequence under 4 other names. The record is from RNAcentral. Lineage: Bacteria; Pseudomonadati; Myxococcota; Myxococcia; Myxococcales; Myxococcaceae.
GGUCCCGUAGCUCAGUUGGAUAGAGCGGCGGUUUCCUAAACCGCAGGCCACAGGUUCGAUUCCUGUCGGGGCCG